This 292-nucleotide ribosomal RNA is filed under the name uncultured Acidobacteriota bacterium. RNAcentral describes it as "uncultured Acidobacteria bacterium partial 16S ribosomal RNA". Lineage: Bacteria; Pseudomonadati; Acidobacteriota. The record is from RNAcentral.
GGACUACUCGGGUAUCUAAUCCUGUUUGCUCCCCACGCUUUCGUGCCUCAGCGUCAGUCAUGGUCCAGUAAGCCGUCUACACCGCAGGUGUUCCUCCUGAUAUCUACGCAUUUCACCGCUACACCAGGAAUUCCGCUUACCUCUCCCAUACUCGAGCACUCCAGUUUUCGGCGCACCCUCCCAGUUGAGCCGGGAGAUUUCACACCAAACUUAGAGCACCGCCUACGCACUCUUUACGCCCAGUAACUCCGAACAACGCUCGCUGCCUACGUAUUACCGCGGCUGCUGGCAC